AACGACUCCUCUCUCGUUGAAUGACCCAACUGUUGAUCAAUCACCCACGAAGGGGCGUAGACUACCAAUCUCGUUUUGGCUCCAGAAAGAAAUGUUGUGUGCCCGAACAGCGAGAGGCAUUAACUCUGGCCUAAUGACAAUCACCAACUAGCUAGCUACAUUCUUUAUAAACCACUAGGGUAUAUCAGCUACAACUCUCCUCAUGUUCCUGAGCCAACAGGAGGCAGGUACUGUGAGACUAGCUACAUUCUUUAUAAACCACUAGGGUUGAGGCCUAUCAGCUACAACUCUCCUCAUGUUCCUGAGCCAACAGGAGGCAGGUACUGUGAGACUAGCUACAUUCUUUAUAAACCACUAGGGCAUAUCAGCUACAACUCUCCUCAUGUUCCUGAGCCAACAGGAGGCAGGUACUGUGAGACUAGCUACAUUCUUUAUAAACCACUAGGGUUGAGGCCUAUCAGCUACAACUCUCCUCAUGUUCC
Long non-coding RNA from Oncorhynchus tshawytscha (Chinook salmon), 482 nucleotides. Lineage: Eukaryota; Metazoa; Chordata; Actinopteri; Salmoniformes; Salmonidae. The record is from Ensembl.